UACACCUGUAACCAUGCCGAACACAGAAGUUAAGCUUCUUAGCGCCGAUUGUAGUGAGGGGUUGCCCCUUGUGAGAGUAGGACGUCGCCACGC
RNAcentral lists this ribosomal RNA (93 nucleotides) under Enterococcus faecium. The record is from RNAcentral. Lineage: Bacteria; Bacillati; Bacillota; Bacilli; Lactobacillales; Enterococcaceae. RNAcentral also lists the same sequence under 2 other names.